AACUUUCAACAAUGGAUCUCUUGGUUCUGGCAUCGAUGAAGAACGCAGCGAAAUGCGAUAAGUAAUGUGAAUUGCAGAAUUCCGUGAAUCAUCGAAUCUUUGAACGCACAUUGCGCCCCCUGGUAUUCCGGGGGGCAUGCCUGUUCGAGCGUCAUUG
This 157-nucleotide ribosomal RNA is filed under the name Keratinophyton terreum. RNAcentral describes it as "5.8S ribosomal RNA". It matches the Rfam family "5.8S ribosomal RNA". From Rfam's summary of the family: 5.8S ribosomal RNA (5.8S rRNA) is a component of the large subunit of the eukaryotic ribosome. It is transcribed by RNA polymerase I as part of the 45S precursor that also contains 18S and 28S rRNA. Functionally, it is thought that 5.8S rRNA may be involved in ribosome translocation. The record is from RNAcentral. Lineage: Eukaryota; Fungi; Ascomycota; Eurotiomycetes; Onygenales; Onygenaceae.